GAUGAACGCUGGCGGCGUGCCUAACACAUGCAAGUCGAGCGAACAGACGAGGCUCUUGCUCCUCUCACGUUAGGCGCGGACGGGUGAGUAACACGAGUAUACCCUCCCUUUAAGACGGGUAUAACUACGGGAAACCGGCUCUAACACCGGAGAAUAUCUUGAACCACAGGGUUCGUUAGUGAAUGACGGUUUUGCUGUCUCUAAUAGAGGGUUCCGCGCCGGAUUAGCUGGUUGGUACGGUAACGGCGUACCAAGGCAACGAUGCGUGUCCGACCUGAGAGGGUGAUCGGCCACACUGGAACUGAGACACGGUCCAGACGCCUACGGGAGGCAGCAGUAGGGAAUCUGCCGCAAGGGGCGAAAGCCUGACGGAGCAAGGCCGCGUGAGGGAGGAAGGUCUUCGGAUCGUAAAACUCUGUUAUUAGGGAAGAACCAAUGUGUGAGUAACUAUGCACGUCUUGACGGUACCUAAUCAGAAAGCCACGGCUAACUUCGUG
This 497-nucleotide ribosomal RNA is filed under the name uncultured bacterium. Its description in RNAcentral is "partial 16S ribosomal RNA". It matches the Rfam family "Bacterial small subunit ribosomal RNA", at positions 28 to 507 of the family's 1533-position model. The record is from RNAcentral.